AAAGAAAGAUUAAUACCCGAUGUCAUAGUCCUACCGCAUGAUGGGAUUAUUAAAGAAUUUCGGUAUGGGAUGGGGAUGCGUUCCAUUAGUUAGUUGGCGGGGUAACGGCCCACCAAGACAACGAUGGAUAGGGGUUCUGAGAGGAAGGUCCCCCACAUUGGAACUGAGACACGGUCCAAACUCCUACGGGAGGCAGCGGUGAGGAAUAUUGGUCAAUGGACGAGAGUCUGAACCAGCCAAGUAGCGUGAAGGAUGACUGCCCUAUGGGUUGUAAACUUCUUUUAUAUGGGAAUAAAAUGUUCCACGUGUGGGAUUUUGUAUGUACCAUAUGAAUAAGGAUCGGCUAACUCCGUGCCAGCAGCCGCGGUAAUACGGAGGAUCCGAGCGUUAUCCGGAUUUAUUGGGUUUAAAGGGAGCGUAGGUGGAUUGUUAAGUCAGUUGUGAAAGUUUGCGGCUCAACCGUAAAAUUGCAGUUGAAACUGGCAGUCUUGAGUACAGUAGAGGUGGGCGGAAUUCGUGGUGUAGCGGUGAAAUGCUUAGAUAUCACGAAGAACUCCGAUUGCGAAGGCAGCUCACUGGACUGCAACUGACACUGAGGCUCGAAAGUGUGGGUAUCAAACAGGAUUAGAUACCCUGGUAGUCCACACAGUAAACGAUGAAUACUCGCUGUUUGCGAUAUACGGCAAGCGGCCAAGCGAAAGCAUUAAGUAUUCCACCUGGGGAGUACGCCGGCAACGGUGAAACUCAAAGGAAUUGACGGGGGCCCGCACAAGCGGAGGAACAUGUGGUUUAAUUCGAUGAUACGCGAGGAACCUUACCCGGGCUUAAAUUGCACCUGAAUAAUGUGGAAACAUGUUAGCCGUAAGGCAGGUGUGAAGGUGCUGCAUGGUUGUCGUCAGCUCGUGCCGUGAGGUGUCGGCUUAAGUGCCAUAACGAGCGCAACCCUUAUCUUCAGUUACUAACAGGUCAUGCUGAGGACUCUGGAGAGACUGCCGUCGUAAGAUGUGAGGAAGGUGGGGAUGACGUCAAAUCAGCACGGCCCUUACGUCCGGGGCUACACACGUGUUACAAUGGGAGGUACAGAAGGCCGCUACCUGGCGACAGGAUGCCAAUCCCCAAAACCUCUCUCAGUUCGGAUCGAAGUCUGCAACCCGACUUCGUGAAGCUGGAUUCGCUAGUAAUCGCGCAUCAGCCAUGGCGCGGUGAAUACGUUCCCGGGCUUUGCAC
RNAcentral lists this ribosomal RNA (1227 nucleotides) under uncultured bacterium. RNAcentral's name for it is "bacterial SSU rRNA". It matches the Rfam family "Bacterial small subunit ribosomal RNA", at positions 154 to 1386 of the family's 1533-position model. The record is from RNAcentral.